UCUGUGCCCUGGCCAGACCAUCUCUGAAGAGUGAGUUCAUCCAGUCUGGAUUUGCCCUGCUCUCCCUGCAGCCCAGAGGUUCUCCCUAAUGGGGCGAGAGAAAACUGUGUUUGGACGCACAUCGCCCUGGUGAAGAGCAGUGAGGCUCUUCACUUCCUGGCUCUGGAUUUCAGCAAGUCCCUGCAUUUCUCUAAGCCUCAGUUUCUAGAUCUGGAAAGUGGGGAUAGUGCUGCACCAGCCCAGAGGGCCGUUGGGAGGACUGGCCCCAACCCGGCACAGAAUACCCAGGAUACCCAGGAAUCCUGCCACGGUAGCCAGCUGCCCUCAAAGGCAGGGCUGAGGAGGAGCAGAGUGCUUUGCCUUUGCACCUGGGUCUGCAGGGGGGAGGUGGGGGGACACAGGUUCCCCCUGAGGGCUGAGCCUGGCCUUUGGGGGCCGCUACCCUGGAGGAGGUGGCAUGUGCCGGCGAUUCUGUCCCAAAGCCUUCCUCCCAGCCGCCACAUAUUCCGAACGGUGCUGCUUUGCCUGGGCCCAGGCAGCCAGAGCAGCGGAGCCAGCCCUGGGGGAGAAGAGGUUGUGAGAAGGAUUUGGGCUGAAAAAAAGGCUGGAGAGAUUUUCCUCCGGCUGUUCAUCCAGGAGCCCCAGAGCCGGGAGCUUUUAAUGUGUUUGUUGUAAAACUGUCAGCUGGGAAGUCACAACACGGCUCACGGAGACAGGAGGCUGAGUGUGACUCAGGCAUCAGGAGAGGGAAGGACACGCAUGGAGCAAGGCAACUUGGCAAGGAAACCCACAACCCCCGAGCCACAGCAAGAGGCCUAGAAUCCAGGACUCCAUGGUGCAUGGCCACCUCUCCUUUUUAUUCGCAACAGCAAAACAUGGAAUCCACCUAAAUGCCCAUUGACAGAUGACUGAAUAAAAAAGCUGUGUCGCGUAUACUCAGUGGAAUACUAUGCUGCUGCUGGGAAGAUGGAAACGUGCCAUUUGGGACAAAAUGGAUGGAGCUGGAGGUGACUGGAGGAGAAGGAAAAGGGACUUGGAGGCAGCGCCAGGCUCUCUGGGUGGCAGGAGUGACGAGACUAGAGACAGACGGAAGUAUGAAUCCAAGCCUCUGAUGCUGUGCAAUACUGUCAACUCACGGCCACUGAUCAUGGCCUCCCUGCUGGAGGAUGAGGUCACUUUCAAUGUCCCAGCUACCAGCCAAGUCCUUCUCCGGAUACCACGAGGCUCCCCCGGGCCCACGAGCCCCAGCACACCCAGGAGCGGGGCAAAGUGACAUCAGCGAGCCCCGUGCAGAGCCGCAGAAGCGCCGGAUGACCUGCAGACGGUGGUGGUGGUGGAGAAGCCAGCACUGGGGUUGCUGGACCAAGUCAGUGAACGCACAAGCCCUGCACCUAGAAGAACUCUGCCCGGGGGAGCCUGCUCGUGGGGCUGAGGUCUGAAGUCAGACAGAUCCGAGGCUGACCCCUGGCUCCAGGAGCACCGACGAGGACAGGACGUCUCCUGCUGAGCCCACACGACUAGCUCUUGGAGCCUCCAUGAAAGGGGCUGCAAGCUCUCGGGCUCCGGGUUGCACCCGACCUCACCCUUGGCCUUGUUCCACCUGAGAGGAGCCCGUAACAGCGGCGUCAAGGUCCCCGGCACCCCCAAGAAGCCUGCAGUCACCUGAGGGGUUGGAGGGAGCAUCAAAAUCAUCCGAGACUUGCAUCCACCUCUACCCGGUUGCCCUCAUGUAAUCUAGGCACAAGACUGUUUCCUCACACAGUCCCCCGCGGCUGCCAUGGCAACACAGGAGUUGGCUCACCAUCUGCUGCCUGACUUGAGGGACCUCGAGUCAGGCUUUCACAGUGUCGGAAUUAGUGUGGGGGUACCCGGCCUGCUUCGGGGGAGCCGUUGGCCACAUCUGGUUCCUCUCUGCCCUGCAGUGUUUGGAGCAGAUGCAGCCUCAACUCCCCGAUGACACUGAGGAAGGUAAACAUGGCUUUAUUCACAGCUACGGAGCACCCUUUCUGAUAAAGCAGAUCAUUUCCUCAGCACAUCAACUUGGAAGUUGCAAGUCGGAAACUACUUGGCAUGAUGUAAGAAACUGGAAAGCAAGCUGUCUGCGGAAACCUGUUGGAAAAUGUUAACCGAGUUCGAGAGCUUUGGGCAGGGGAUUUGCAUUAGAAUCCCAGUGGGGCAGGACACUGGGUGAUUACCCUGUUCUCUGUAGGUGAGAACGCUAACUCAGGGAUCCUUCUGGGACCACCCACCCCUCCCUCUUACAUCUAUGGUCAGGCAACUCAGACUCUAUCUGGUGUUGUAAGGUGUGUAAGUUGCCCCCAAUAUUCACGGUCCAGCUCAAGACGGCAUUUCCCAGCCUUCUCUGCAGCUAAUCUGUGACUGAGAUCUAGCCAAUGUGAUGUAAAUAAAAGUGACCUAGGUAAUUUCCGGAUUGUGCCCUUUAAAGGACAGUUGUUUGUAUGGCUGAAACCUAAUCAUGAACAGCUUUGCAUGGGUCUAUCUCACCGGAUUCAAUUAAAAAAAAAUCUUAAAAUAAAAAAAAAAGAGGGGCUGGAGCAAUAGCACAGCGGGUAGCGCAUUUGACCCGGGUUCGAUUCCCAGCAUCCCAUAUGGUCCCCUGAGCACCGCCAGGAGUUAAUACCUGAAUGCAUGAGCCAGGAGUAACCCCUGUGCAUCGCCGGGUGUGACCCAAAAAGCCAAAAAAGUAAAUAAAUAAAAAUAAAUUUAAAAAAAGAGACAGUUGUGGAGCUUUUUUUCCCCGUCCAAACAGGUAAGUUACUUGUGCUAAAUUUAUCCAACAUUGCAUGGUUCCCGGGGGUGGAGGAAUAGUACAGCAGGUAGGGCACUUGCCUUGCAUGUGACCGACCUGUGUUUGAUCCCCAGAGUACCGUAUGGUCUCCUGAGCACUGACAGA
Sorex araneus (European shrew) is the source of this 2914-nucleotide long non-coding RNA. RefSeq lists it as uncharacterized. Lineage: Eukaryota; Metazoa; Chordata; Mammalia; Eulipotyphla; Soricidae. The record is from RefSeq and is a predicted model, not a curated record. The transcript has 8 exons.